AUUGAACGCUGGCGGCAGGCCUAACACAUGCAAGUCGAGCGGAUGAAGGGAGCUUGCUCCUGGAUUCAGCUGCGGACGGGUGAGUAAUUCCUAGGAAUCUGCCUUGUAGUGGGGGAUAACGUCCGGAAACGGGCGCUAAUACCGCAUACGUCCUGAGGGAGAAAGUGGGGGAUCUUCGGACCUCACGCUAUCAGAUGAGCCUAGGUCGGAUUAGCUAGUUGGUGGGGUAAAGGCCUACCAAGGCGACGAUCCGUAACUGGUCUGAGAGGAUGAUCAGUCAAAAUGGAACUGAGACACGGUCCAGACUCCUACGGGAGGCAGCAGUGGGGAAUAUUGGACAAUGGGCGAAAGCCUGAUCCAGCCAUGCCGCGUGUGUGAAGAAGGUCUUCGGAUUGUAAAGAACUUUAAGUUGGGAGGAAGGGCAGUAAGUUAAUACCUUGCUGUUUUGACGUUACCAACAGAAUAAGCACCGGCUAACUUCGUG
RNAcentral lists this ribosomal RNA (484 nucleotides) under uncultured bacterium. Its description in RNAcentral is "partial 16S ribosomal RNA". It matches the Rfam family "Bacterial small subunit ribosomal RNA", at positions 30 to 507 of the family's 1533-position model. The record is from RNAcentral.